GACGAACGCUGGCGGCGUGCCUAACACAUGCAAGUCGAGCGGAGUUAUCCGAGCGGAAGUUUUCGGAUGGAAGCAUGGAUAACUUAGCGGCGGACGGGUGAGUAACGCGUGGGCAAUCUGCCUUUUACAGGGGGAUAACACAGGGAAACCUGUGCUAAUACCGCAUAAAACUGCACUGUGGCAUCACAGAGUAGCCAAAGGAGCAAUCCGGUAAAAGAGGAGCCCGCGUCUGAUUAGCUAGUUGGUGAGGUAACGGCCCACCAAGGCGACGAUCAGUAGCCGAACUGAGAGGUUGAUCGGCCACAUUGGGACUGAGACACGGCCCAAACUCCUACGGGAGGCAGCAGUGGGGAAUAUUGCACAAUGGGGGAAACCCUGAUGCAGCAACGCCGCGUGAGUGAAGAAGUAUUUCGGUAUGUAAAGCUCUAUCAGCAGGGAAGAAAUUGACAGUACCUGACUAAGAAGCCCCGGCUAACUACGUGCCAGCAGCCGACGG
RNAcentral lists this ribosomal RNA (496 nucleotides) under uncultured bacterium. Its description in RNAcentral is "bacterial SSU rRNA". It matches the Rfam family "Bacterial small subunit ribosomal RNA", at positions 28 to 520 of the family's 1533-position model. The record is from RNAcentral.